RNAcentral lists this long non-coding RNA (2691 nucleotides) under Equus caballus (horse). RNAcentral describes it as "lncRNA (ENSECAG00000044756.1)". Lineage: Eukaryota; Metazoa; Chordata; Mammalia; Perissodactyla; Equidae. The record is from RNAcentral.
AGUAGCUCCUUUUAUUAUCGAGUAUUAUCCUACUGUAUGGAUGUACCCACAUUUUUUCAUCCAUUUACCUGUGGGUGGACAUUUGGGUUGUUUUCAGUUUCGAGGUGUUACGUGUAAAGCUACGAUGAACGUUGUUCACAGUUCUUUGUGUGCAGAAGCGCCUCAGCUUCUCUUUGGGAAACGCCGAGGAGCAGAGCGGCUGGCUCACGCCGCAGGUGAACGUUUCCCUUGGCGAGAAAGCGUCCAACAGUUUUCCGAGCAGUGGUGCCGUUUUACAUUCCCACCGCAGAAACUCGAGGGAUCCCUCCACUGCUCUUGUGACGGCCCUGAACUCAGCCCCCAGGAUCUUCAAGCAAUAAGAGUAUGGCUUUCUAUGACCUACAGAGUGUGGCCCGGGUCAGCCCUCAGGCUAAAAGAGGACUCUUUGCCUGCUUGCGGAAGAAUGCCCACAGAAGCCUCCCGCAGGCCGGGCUGGGCAGGGAAGGCCAGCCUUCCAGAGCUGCAGUCCUUUAGAAAUGCAUCCCAGAGGCAAACGCAGACCCCGGGAGCUGCCUGUCCUACGUGCUGGGCUGGGCUUUCAGUGCCUUCUCCUCAGGAAGCUGCCCCUCUGGGCACGUUUUCGCUGCCUGGUAAUUGGUUCACCCUGCGGGCAGAAGCAGCCAGCCUCACUCUAAGAGGCAGGAAUUUCAAGCAGCUCUCCUGUUGAAGGAAUGUUACUAGCCACCCCAGACAGCAGACUAGGGGAGGAGAGGACAAAGCUAACAGAGUAACAAGUCACUCUCUGGGAGCACAUGCCCUUCUCAGAACCAUGUGUGCAACGUCAUGACUGGUUCUUACGUCCAUUAUCAUCACACUGGACAGAACCCACUCGUUAUUGGCAUCUUUCCACCUGCAUUGAACAAGGAGGCACUUCCUUCUCUCAACCUUCUCCUCUGCUUCCGCUGCGAGAGUAUUACUGGCUUUUUCCAAACGUCAGGCCUCAGCAAGUACACUGAGGGAUACCAUCCUCGUUCACGACGUGUAGCCCCCAAACCUUCCACCUUGACCACAAAGGAAAGGCCAAUCGUGAUUUAUUCUUUGAAGCACACGGCCACUCAGAGGACACUGAGCAAAACGAGGGCUCUGUUGGAAAAGAAGACGGGAGAAGGAUUGUUGAGCACAGUUGACAUCAACUUCACCCGGACAGCCUUCAUUAAACUACUUAGGUAUUACAUGUUUUAAAGUAUUUGUUAACAACGAACAUCAUUAAUUUCACAACCCACUUGUUCUCAAACCUGACUGCACGUAGCGAUCAUCUGGGGACCUUUGGAAAUGCUGGUGCCCGGGUCCCUUCUGCAGAGAUGCUGGUUGAGUUGGUCUGGACCACAGCCUGGGCACUGGGAUUUUUAAAAGCUUGCAGGUGAUUCUAAAAACUGGAAAAUUUGAGAACCAUUGUCAUAGUCCGUCCUAGUUGUGCACAUUCCACGUAGAAGGAGACCUGAAAUUGUGGUUGCCGUUAAAGCCAGUGUCAGCACUUCCAGACCGCCGAUAACUGGUGUGUUUAAUCUGCUGUACCUGCUAUGGUCUACCACGUGUACAAACGAGGUUAAGACUCAGUUUGAGUGUUCAGAAUAAUCAUUUGAGCCCACCUCACCCCUCCCCAACCUAACCAGCGCUAAUUCAGAGAAUACCCGACAUCCCUCUCUAGACCUCCCCUCAUUCUGACCUUGGAACUGUCCAAAAAUACCCCUGGAGCCUACUCAGCCCAAAGGGCCAGGCUUGCUUCUAAACAUCUCAUGGAGAAAGAACUGUGGAACUUGUUCACUCCUCCAGCAGGCCUCAUCUUUCCCUGCCCUUGCCUCUGUUACUGCCACGACAGGGGUGCCUUUCUGGAAGCAAUCAGCAAUAGCUUUUCAGCUAUUAUAAAAACAAUAAAGUUACACUUCACCAGGCACCCACUACGUCUACUUACUCACUCUUUCAAAUCCCUAACUGAGAGAAAAUAUGAAAGUUUUUGUUUGUUUGUUUUUGUGGGGUCUUUUGGUUUUGUUUUUUUAGCUGGUUAGAUGGAACUUGAGCCAGAAAAGCUUCCUUUUAAAAGUAGCUACUGACUUCUUUCCCUGCCUGGGUCUUAAGUGUCCCCUCUCAACGAUCAAACAGGAGGUGAGUAGCCACCUGACAUCUUGGGAGGUAAAUGGCAUUUAUGGUCUUAAAAAAAAUGUUUACUGCUCAUCUCACUGGCCCUUGUUAUGCAGAGGUGAUCCAUAAAGAGUCAAAAAUUUGUAGGGAUGGAGGUGAAGAUGCCUUCUGGGAAGAGAGAGAUAAGAUCUCUUCUAUUUUCAAGUUCAAUGUGGAUCUGAUUGAAGUACACCAGCGGGAAGAGACAUGGAGGACGCUCUCAGGAUAACCCCCAAGGAGGGGUGAGGGCCUGGCUGGUGACCUGGGCUGCAAACCAGGCCUGGAUGUCCCUGCGCAGAGAGCUGGUCCAGUGCAGCAUGUGGCCAACGCUUGAGUGCACCCCCAACUCUCCAGGCAUAAGGGGCUCAACCAAAAUGCUUGUCUUCGGAGCCCCAGCAGAGGGCCCCACCUGGCCCACGUCCAACCCUGAAAGCCGCAGGGAGACGGGCAACCCAGGCCCCAAAGCAGCCCGCCAGAGAACUGUCUAGAUCAGCAGCCACUAACCACACACGGCUUUGAGCUCUUGAAAUGUGG